GAUGAACGCUGGCGGCGUGCCUAAUACAUGCCAGUCGAGCGAACGGACGAGAAGCUUGCUUCUCUGAUGUUAGCGGCGGACGGGUGAGUAACACGUGGAUAACCUACCUAUAAGACUGGGAUAACUUCGGGAAACCGGAGCUAAUACCGGAUAAUAUUUUGAACCGCAUGGUUCAAAAGUAAAAGACGGUCUUGCUGUCACUUAUAGAUGGAUCCGCGCUGCAUUAGCUAGUUGGUAAGGUAACGGCUUACCAAGUCAACGAUGCAUAGCCGACCUGAGAGGGUGAUCGGCCACACUGGAACUGAGACACGGUCCAGACUCCUACGGGAGGCAGCAGUAGGGAAUCUUCCGCAAUGGGCGAAAGCCUGACGGAGCAACGCCGCGUGAGUGAUGAAGGUCUUCGGAUCGUAAAACUCUGUUAUUAGGGAAGAACAUAUGUGUAAGUAACUGUGCACAUCUUGACGGUACCUAAUCAGAAAGCCACGGCUAACUACGUG
RNAcentral lists this ribosomal RNA (497 nucleotides) under uncultured bacterium. RNAcentral describes it as "partial 16S ribosomal RNA". It matches the Rfam family "Bacterial small subunit ribosomal RNA", at positions 28 to 507 of the family's 1533-position model. The record is from RNAcentral.